AUUGAACGCUGGCGGCAGGCUUAACACAUGCAAGUCGAACGAUGAUUAUCUAGCUUGCUAGAUAUGAUUAGUGGCGGACGGGUGAGUAACAUUUAGGAAUCUGCCUAGUAGUGGGGGAUAGCUCGGGGAAACUCGAAUUAAUACCGCAUACGACCUACGGGUGAAAGGGGGCGCAAGCUCUUGCUAUUAGAUGAGCCUAAAUCAGAUUAGCUAGUUGGUGGGGUAAAGGCCCACCAAGGCGACGAUCUGUAACUGGUCUGAGAGGAUGAUCAGUCACACCGGAACUGAGACACGGUCCGGACUCCUACGGGAGGCAGCAGUGGGGAAUAUUGGACAAUGGGGGCAACCCUGAUCCAGCCAUGCCGCGUGUGUGAAGAAGGCCUUUUGGUUGUAAAGCACUUUAAGCAGGGAGGAGAGGCUAAUGGUUAAUACCCAUUAGAUUAGACGUUACCUGCAGAAUAAGCACCGGCUAACUCUGUGCCAGCAGCCGCGGUAAUACAGAGGGUGCGAGCGUUAAUCGGAAUUACUGGGCGUAAAGCGAGUGUAGGUGGCUCAUUAAGUCACAUGUGAAAUCCCCGGGCUUAACCUGGGAACUGCAUGUGAUACUGGUGGUGCUAGAAUAUGUGAGAGGGAAGUAGAGUUCCAGGUGUAGCGGUGAAAUGCGUAGAGAUCUGGAGGAAUACCGAUGGCGAAGGCAGCUUCCUGGCACAAUAUUGACACUGAGAUUCGAAAGCGUGGGUAGCAAACAGGAUUAGAUACCCUGGUAGUCCACGCCGUAAACGAUGUCUACUAGCCGUUGGGGUCCUUGAGACUUUAGUGGCGCAGUUAACGCGAUAAGUAGACCGCCUGGGGAGUACGGCCGCAAGGUUAAAACUCAAAUGAAUUGACGGGGGCCCGCACAAGCGGUGGAGCAUGUGGUUUAAUUCGAUGCAACGCGAAGAACCUUACCUGGUCUUGACAUAGUGAGAAUCCUGCAGAGAUGCGGGAGUGCCUUCGGGAAUUCACAUACAGGUGCUGCAUGGCUGUCGUCAGCUCGUGUCGUGAGAUGUUGGGUUAAGUCCCGCAACGAGCGCAGCCCUUUUCCUUAUUUGCCAGCGGGUUAAGCCGGGAACUUUAAGGAUACUGCCAGUGACAAACUGGAGGAAGGCGGGGACGACGUCAAGUCAUCAUGGCCCUUACGACCAGGGCUACACACGUGCUACAAUGGUAGGUACAGAGGGUUGCUACACAGCGAUGUGAUGCUAAUCUCAAAAAGCCUAUCGUAGUCCGGAUUGGAGUCUGCAACUCGACUCCAUGAAGUCGGAAUCGCUAGUAAUCGCAGAUCAGAAUGCUGCGGUGAAUACGUUCCCGGGCCU
Molecule: ribosomal RNA, 1355 nt
Filed under: uncultured bacterium
Lineage: Bacteria
Description: bacterial SSU rRNA
Rfam family: Bacterial small subunit ribosomal RNA
Source: RNAcentral